Molecule: long non-coding RNA, 1652 nt
Filed under: Macaca nemestrina (pig-tailed macaque)
Lineage: Eukaryota; Metazoa; Chordata; Mammalia; Primates; Cercopithecidae
Description: lncRNA (ENSMNEG00000045803.1)
Source: RNAcentral
UGAAUUACAAGCAAAUGAAUGACUAGUAACGUAGAAAGACACAACUGGGUCAGGUGGGUGCCUGUGUAUAUGGUGACUUUUACUGAGCAGCCUCUGCAGGUCAGCAUCUUGGUCGGGGAGGAGGAGGAUAAUAUGUAUUUCCCUAAUUUUGUAUUUUAACUUUCCCUGUCAAAAGCUUAUGCUUGAGAAGUUGUUUCCAAAUUGAAACUGAAUUUAUAAGCUGUAGGAUUUUACAGCAUACAGUGACACUGAGAAGACUUAAGGAACUAACACUUCAGAAUCUGAAAAUGCAAAGAUUAGUAAAAUGGUCACAAUCGAAGUAUGUUGAUGACUCAGUCACUCGCUCGACUUCCUAAACGUAUUCCCUCAUCCAUCUUUGCUAACUGGAGUCCCUCUUCCCCUCAUCAACUUGCUGCUUCCUACCUCAAAAGCAUGACAUUUAUUUUUUCUCCUCGUGAAGGGUGAUCCAAGAACACAGAAUGCUCCAGAAGUUCCAGUUUGCCAUCAACUCACCAUCUGGGAUUAUAAACUCAAAAGAGAAAAAUAUCCAAGGGCAAUGGCAACUUUAUGGUGUGAAAAGAGACCUGAAGACACAGGCUCUUUGGAGAUGCAGGAAAGAGAAGCCGUUAGAUCAUCAAGAAGUGAGCUGAGACAACUUCAAGUUCAGCACCUACGGGAGUUGGAACCAAGGGAGAAGUGUCUCUUCGAAAAGUCAAAAACAGUGAGGGAGACCAAGAUGCAUAGAGCAAGAGAUGGGAUGAAACAUAUGCUGGUUUCUCAUGAAAGUUACAAAACUCUAUUGGGGUGUGUGUGUGUGUGUGUGUGUGUGUGUGUGUGUGUGUGUGUUUUGGGGGCAAUGCUGGUAAUGGGGAGCUCACAGUGUUAAAUAUAUAGCAAAGAUAGAAAAAUGAUGACUUGGGACAAGCUAUUGAAAUAAUAACUUGAUGUCUAGCAGAUCAGGAUGCUUUUGAAUAAUCUGAUGUGGGGAAACAAAACAGCCAGUAAAUUGUGAAGGAGUAAAGGUAAAAGUUAAGCUAGUCUAUAUGCAUUACUAUUUAUUCACUCAUUUACUGUUUUCAUUCAUUUAUUUGACACAUACUUGUUGAGCAUCUACUGGGGCUGGGCAUCUUUUAGAAAAUGGGAACACCAAUGAAUCAGACACUGCCCUACCCUCAUGGAUCUUAUAAAAGCUAUUCUUUGACAAGAUGAGACUUUUCUUCUUCAAUUCUGGUAAAUUCAGUGGACCAUAUAAUUCAUUUCAAACUGUUUUCAUGUAGGAGAGAUUUGUGUAUGAUUGAGAGCAAGGAAAAGAGGCUUAGAAGGGGAAUUCAAACAUUGAAGACACAAAAGAAAAAAUAAAUAAUAAAAUACUGUGAUCUCUUUGAAAUUGAGAAUUAGAUGAAAUGAAAGAAAUAUAAAAAGGUAGUUUGGCCCUGUGGGGAAGAUGAGCUGUUCUUCCUCUGACACAGAAAAGAAGGAAGAAAGAACAUGCUGGAAGCAGAGCAAAGAAGAGGUAAGACACUGUAGUUAUUUUAAAUAUCCACCUGUUGAUAUACACAGGCUUAGAUACAUUACUGAAAGUAUAAGCCAUUUUUAAAGAUAAACAGUGCUCGCAUAUGUAUAUGUUACAUCCAAAGCCCAUAGUGUCUAAA